GGCACCUCCCCUCACUCUUCUGAGGACCUCUCACUCCUGGCUCUCAUCUGACCAGUAAGGAUAUCAAGGUAUUCAAGAUGUGUGUCCUAAUGUGACCCGACUACCCAACGCCCGAAGAAUGGCAAAUGAGCUGCUCUGUGGUCUUGUCUUUCGAUUCUUUCUCCCAGUCUGCCUACUGGCGGCAAUAUGUAUCCGUUUCAAUGGAUUUUCGGUCAUCUAUUUUAUCUACCUGAUGCUCGUCCCUCUUCUGUCAAAGCCCUCAUACACCACGAUGAAAGGCAGGUGUCUGUAAACUGCUUUACUAGUAGUAAUAGCUUGCUUUUAAUUAAAUAUUGUGUUAAUAUUAUACAGUACAGUUGUCUGCAGAUGUUUUAUUUAUGUUUUUUAUAUGAAUGGAUCAAAGCCUAAUUUUUGUUAUGUCUCUCCCUUCUUACCUGAUAGAUUUCAGGCUCUCCCACCUUCUCAUUCCCUAGUUCAUAGGACAACAGGCUAUUACAAUGCUUGU
This is a long non-coding RNA of Rana temporaria (common frog), 505 nucleotides long. RefSeq lists it as uncharacterized. The record is from RefSeq and is a predicted model, not a curated record. The transcript is spliced from 3 exons. NCBI's taxonomy places the organism in Eukaryota, Metazoa, Chordata, Amphibia, Anura, Ranidae.